This 253-nucleotide ribosomal RNA is filed under the name uncultured bacterium. Its description in RNAcentral is "partial 16S ribosomal RNA". It matches the Rfam family "Bacterial small subunit ribosomal RNA", at positions 524 to 776 of the family's 1533-position model. The record is from RNAcentral.
UACGGAGGGUGCAAGCAUUGAUCGGAAUUACUGGGCGUAAAGGGCGCGUAGGCGGUUAGGUAAGUCAGAUGUGAAAUUUUGGGGCUCAACCCCGAGACGGCAUUUGAAACUACCUAGCUAGAGUACAGUUAGGGUAAACGGAAUUCCACGUGUAGCGGUGAAAUGCGUAGAUAUGUGGAAGAACACCGGUGGUGAAGACGGUUUACUGGGCUGAAACUGACGCUGAGGCGCGAAAGCAUGGGGAGCAAACAGG